GUCGAGCGAGCAGAACCAGCAGAUUUACUUCGGUAAUGACGCUGGGGACGCGAGCGGCGGAUGGGUGAGUAACACGUGGGGAACCUGCCCCAUAGUCUGGGAUACCACUUGGAAACAGGUGCUAAUACCGGAUAAGAAAGCAGAUCGCAUGAUCAGCUUAUAAAAGGCGGCGUAAGCUGUCGCUAUGGGAUGGCCCCGCGGUGCAUUAGCUAGUUGGUAAGGUAACGGCUUACCAAGGCAAUGAUGCAUAGCCGAGUUGAGAGACUGAUCGGCCACAUUGGGACUGAGACACGGCCCAAACUCCUACGGGAGGCAGCAGUAGGGAAUCUUCCACAAUGGACGCAAGUCUGAUGGAGCAACGCCGCGUGAGUGAAGAAGGUUUUCGGAUCGUAAAGCUCUGUUGUUGGUGAAGAAGGAUAGAGGUAGUAACUGGCCUUUAUUUGACGGUAAUCAACCAGAAAGUCACGGCUAACUACGUGCCAGCAGCCGCGGUAAUACGUAGGUGGCAAGCGUUGUCCGGAUUUAUUGGGCGUAAAGCGAGCGCAGGCGGAAGAAUAAGUCUGAUGUGAAAGCCCUCGGCUUAACCGAGGAACUGCAUCGGAAACUGUUUUUCUUGAGUGCAGAAGAGGAGAGUGGAAUUCCAUGUGUAGCGGUGGAAUGCGUAGAUAUAUGGAAGAACACCAGUGGCGAAGGCGACUCUCUGGUCUGCAACUGACGCUGAGGCUCGAAAGCAUGGGUAGCGAACAGGAUUAGAUACCCUGGUAGUCCAUGCCGUAAACGAUGAGUGCUAAGUGUUGGGAGGUUUCCGCCUCUCAGUGCUGCAGCUAACGCAUUAAGCACUCCGCCUGGGGAGUACGACCGCAAGGUUGAAACUCAAAGG
Molecule: ribosomal RNA, 880 nt
Filed under: Lactobacillus helveticus
Lineage: Bacteria; Bacillati; Bacillota; Bacilli; Lactobacillales; Lactobacillaceae
Description: bacterial SSU rRNA
Rfam family: Bacterial small subunit ribosomal RNA
Source: RNAcentral